This 200-nucleotide ribosomal RNA is filed under the name uncultured bacterium. RNAcentral's name for it is "partial 16S ribosomal RNA". It matches the Rfam family "Bacterial small subunit ribosomal RNA", at positions 28 to 225 of the family's 1533-position model. The record is from RNAcentral.
GAUGAACGCUAGCGGCAGGCAUAAUACAUGCAAGGCGAACGGCAAGAUUUGUAGCAAUACGAAUCCUAGAGUGUCGUACGGGUGCGUAACACGUAUGCAACCUACCUUUUACAGGAGUAUAGCUCGGUGAAAACCGAAUUAACCCUCCAUAAGAUCGUAUUCAGGCAUCUGAGAGCGAUUAAAACUGCGGUGGUAAAAGA